Molecule: ribosomal RNA, 442 nt
Filed under: uncultured bacterium
Lineage: Bacteria
Description: partial 16S ribosomal RNA
Rfam family: Bacterial small subunit ribosomal RNA
Source: RNAcentral
CCUACGGGGGGCAGCAGUGGGGAAUAUUGGGCAAUGGGCGAAAGCCUGACCCAGCAACGCCGCGUGAAUGAAGAAGGCUUUCGGGUUGUAAACUUCUUUUGACAGGGAAGAGCAGAAGACGGUACCUGUCGAAUAAGCCACGUCUAACUACGUGCCAGCAGCCGUGGUAAUACGUAGGUGGCAAGCGUUGUCCGUAUUUACUGGGUGUAAAGGGCGUGUAGCCGGGCUGACAAGUCAGGUGUGAAAUCCGGGGGCUCAACCCCCGAACUGCAUUUGAAACUGUUGGGCUUGAGUAUCGGAGAGGCAGGCGGAAUUCCUAGUGUAGCGGUGAAAUGCGUAGAUAUCAGGAGGAACACCGGUGGCGAAGGCGGCCUGCUGGACAGUAACUGACGUUGAGGCUCGAAAGCGUGGGGAGCAAACAGGAUUAGAUACCCGUGUAGUC